CAGUAGCCACGGGAAUACAGAGGGUGCGAGCGUUAAUCGGAUUUACUGGGCGUAAAGCGUGCGUAGGCGGCUUCUUAAGUCGGAUGUGAAAUCCCUGAGCUUAACUUAGGAAUUGCAUUCGAUACUGGGAAGCUAGAGUAUGGGAGAGGAUGGUAGAAUUCCAGGUGUAGCGGUGAAAUGCGUAGAGAUCUGGAGGAAUACCGAUGGCGAAGGCAGCCAUCUGGCCUAAUACUGACGCUGAGGUACGAAAGCAUGGGGAGCAAACAGGAUUAGAUACCCGGGUAGUCCCUGUCUCUUAUAA
This 301-nucleotide ribosomal RNA is filed under the name uncultured bacterium. RNAcentral's name for it is "partial 16S ribosomal RNA". It matches the Rfam family "Bacterial small subunit ribosomal RNA", at positions 509 to 809 of the family's 1533-position model. The record is from RNAcentral.